This 512-nucleotide ribosomal RNA is filed under the name uncultured bacterium. RNAcentral describes it as "bacterial SSU rRNA". It matches the Rfam family "Bacterial small subunit ribosomal RNA", at positions 36 to 524 of the family's 1533-position model. The record is from RNAcentral.
GCAAACCUGCGGCGUGCUAAUACAUGCAGUCUACGCACGAAGAUGAAGAGCUUGCUCUUUACCAAGUGAGUGGCGGACGGGUGAGUAACACGUGGGUAACCUGCCCAUUAGAGGGGGAUAAAGUUCGGAAACGGAUGCUAAUACCGCGUAGUUUCAGGAAUCGCAUGAUUCUUGAAGGAAAGGUGGCUUCGGCUACCACUAAUGGAUGGACCCGCGGCGUAUUAGCUAGUUGGUGAGGUAAUGGCUCACCAAGGCAAUGAUACGUAGCCGACCUGAGAGGGUGAUCGGCCACACUGGGACUGAGACACGGCCCAGACUCCUACGGGAGGCAGCAGUAGGGAAUCUUCCGCAAUGGACGAAAGUCUGACGGAGCAACGCCGCGUGAGUGAAGAAGGUUUUCGGAUCGUAAAACUCUGUUGUUAAAGAAGAACAAGGAUGAGAGUAACUGCUCAUCCCCUGACGGUAUUUAACCAGAAAGCCACGGCUAACUACGUGCCAGCAGCCGCGGUAAU